RNAcentral lists this unclassified non-coding RNA (253 nucleotides) under uncultured Moraxellaceae bacterium. RNAcentral describes it as "contains 16S-23S intergenic spacer region". It matches the Rfam family "Bacterial small subunit ribosomal RNA", at positions 524 to 776 of the family's 1533-position model. The record is from RNAcentral. Lineage: Bacteria; Pseudomonadati; Pseudomonadota; Gammaproteobacteria; Moraxellales; Moraxellaceae.
UAAAUAGGGUGCGAGCGUUAUUCGGAAUCAUUGGGCCUAAAGCGUGCGUAGGCGGCUUUUUAAGUCGGAUGUGUAAUCCCCGAGCUUAACUUGGGAAUUGCAUUCGAUACUGGGAAGCUAGAGUAUGGGAGAGGAUGGUAGAAUUCCAGGUGUAGCGGUGAAAUGCGUAGAGAUCUGGAGGAAUACCGAUGGCGAAGGCAGCCAUCUGGCCUAAUACUGACGCUGAGGUACGAAAGCAUGGGGAGCAAACAGG